Molecule: ribosomal RNA, 253 nt
Filed under: uncultured bacterium
Lineage: Bacteria
Also listed under: 1 other name
Description: partial 16S ribosomal RNA
Rfam family: Bacterial small subunit ribosomal RNA
Source: RNAcentral
UACAGAGGGUGCGAGCGUUGUCCGGAAUCACUGGGCGUAAAGGGCGCGUAGGUGGUCUGGUAAGCGUGCGGUGAAAUCGCGGGGCUCAACCCCGCGCCGGCCGUGCGAACUGCUGGACUGGAGCACUGUAGAGGCGGGUGGAAUUCCGGGUGUAGCGGUGGAAUGCGUAGAGAUCCGGAAGAACACCGGUGGCGAAGGCGGCCCGCUGGGCAGUGGCUGACACUGAGGCGCGACAGCGUGGGGAGCAAACAGG